AGUGAACGCUGGCGGUAGGCCUAACACAUGCAAGUCGAACGGCAGCACAGUAAGAGCUUGCUCUUACGGGUGGCGAGUGGCGGACGGGUGAGGAAUACAUCGGAAUCUACUUUUUCGUGGGGGAUAACGUAGGGAAACUUACGCUAAUACCGCAUAAGACCUACGGGUGAAAGCAGGGGAUCUUCGGACCUUGCGCGAUUGAAUGAGCCGAUGUCGGAUUAGCUAGUUGGCGGGGUAAAGGCCCACCAAGGCGACGAUCCGUAGCUGGUCUGAGAGGAUGAUCAGCCACACUGGAACUGAGACACGGUCCAGACUCCUACGGGAGGCAGCAGUGGGGAAUAUUGGACAAUGGGGGCAAGCCUGAUCCAGCCAUACCGCGUGGGUGAAGAAGGCCUUCGGGUUGUAAAGCCCUUUUGUUGGGAAAGAAAAGCAGCAGGUUAAUACCCCGCUGUUCUGACGGUACCCAAAGAAUAAGCACCGGCUAACUUCGUG
Molecule: ribosomal RNA, 492 nt
Filed under: uncultured bacterium
Lineage: Bacteria
Description: partial 16S ribosomal RNA
Rfam family: Bacterial small subunit ribosomal RNA
Source: RNAcentral